UACGGGAGGCAGCAGUGGGGAAUAUUGCACAAUGGGCGCAAGCCUGAUGCAGCCAUGCCGCGUGUAUGAAGAAGGCCUUCGGGUUGUAAAGUACUUUCAGUCGUGAGGAAGGUGUUAAGGUUAAUAACCUUAGCAAUUGACGUUAGCGACAGAAGAAGCACCGGCUAACUCCGUGCCAGCAGCCGCGGUAAUACGGAGGGUGCGAGCGUUAAUCGGAAUUACUGGGCGUAAAGGGCACGCAGGCGGUUAAUUAAGUUGGAUGUGAAAUCCCCGGGCUUAACCUGGGAAUGGCAUUCAAGACUGGUUAGCUAGAGUCUUGUAGAGGGGGUAGAAUUCCAUGUGUAGCGGUGAAAUGCGUAGAGAUGUGGAGGAAUACCGGGUGGCGAAGGCGGCCCCUGGACAAAGGACUGACGCUCAUGUGCGAAAGCGUGGGGAGCAAAC
This 441-nucleotide ribosomal RNA is filed under the name uncultured bacterium. Its description in RNAcentral is "bacterial SSU rRNA". It matches the Rfam family "Bacterial small subunit ribosomal RNA", at positions 340 to 773 of the family's 1533-position model. The record is from RNAcentral.